Molecule: long non-coding RNA, 880 nt
Organism: Quercus lobata
Lineage: Eukaryota; Viridiplantae; Streptophyta; Magnoliopsida; Fagales; Fagaceae
Exons: 3
Source: RefSeq, a predicted model, not a curated record
AACUUUACCAAUAUCACAAAAUACAGAUUACAGAGUAAAAUACAGUCAGAAACAAAUAUCAAAUACGCGUAUUCAGCAAAAAAAAAAAUAUCAAAUACGCGAAAAGCAGAUGCUGCAGAUCGGACGACUAUGCUGAGGAGGCGUCACUGCACGAUGAUCAUCGGAAAGUUGGCAGCAGUGGCGUGGCGUCCUGUACACACUCAAACUCUCUCUCUUGACUCUUCAACACUGCAAUAUGCUAGCUCCACCAAGGGAGUGUCCAUGCACUUGGCAAACAGGUCUGAGCCAUCUUCAAAGAGCAAGACAGCGAGCCAAAAGGAAGAGAUGGAGGAAAUAUACUAGUGCUGCCUUUCUUUUGAGAAUGGGAGAUUUUGGGAAAAUAAAUAAUAAAUAAGUUGGCCGUCUAGAAGUCUUGAUGCACAAGAACUGUGUUCAAGAGUUCACACAAAAGUCAGCCAUUCCGCUGCCAAUAUAUGAAUCUAUAAAUGAGGGUUCGGAGGAUCGCACCUGACUGAAUGGAGUGGAGUACCUUACAUCUCUCCAAAUACUUUUUCAAAAUGUAAAACAGCAUUACAAAACGAUGCUGAACAUGCAAAAAGAGCAGAGAAAGUAAUAUCAGUCAAGGUGGUGCCAGAAAUAGGAAAAUCCUGUGAUUUCAGAUUCGACAACCUCAGAGCUAUGUAUGCGGCAGAGGCAAAGAAGAAGAGUGAGAGUUUGAAAAGGAGCAAAUAGAUAUUGUAUAUAGUUCUGAAGAAGUAAGAAGAAGAGUGUGAGUUUGAAAAGGAGGAAAUAAAUAUUGUAUAUUGUUCUGAAGAUCGAGGAUUAAAAUAGGAAAUUUCUUUAAAGUGAUUGGUUAAAUUUGUUUACAUUUACAGUUUCA